RNAcentral lists this ribosomal RNA (467 nucleotides) under uncultured bacterium. RNAcentral's name for it is "partial 16S ribosomal RNA". It matches the Rfam family "Bacterial small subunit ribosomal RNA", at positions 28 to 507 of the family's 1533-position model. The record is from RNAcentral.
GAUGAACGCUGGCGGCGUGCUUAACACAUGCCAGUCGAACGGAAAGGCCCAAGCUUGCUUGGGUACUCGAGUGGCGAACGGGUGAGUAACACGUGGGUGAUCUGCCCUGCACUUCGGGAUAAGCCUGGGAAACUGGGUCUAAUACCGGAUAGGACCACAUUUUGGAUGGUGUGGUGGAAAGUUUUUCGGUGUGGGAUGAGCUCGCGGCCUAUCAGCUUGUUGGUGGGGUAAUGGCCUACCAAGGCGUCGACGGGUAGCCGGCCUGAGAGGGUGUACGGCCACAUUGGGACUGAGAGACGGCCCAGACUCCUACGGGAGGCAGCAGUGGGGAAUAUUGCACAAUGGGCGCAAGCCUGAUGCAGCGACGCCGCGUGGGGGAUGACGGCCUUCGGGUUGUAAACUCCUUUCGCUAGGGACGAAGCGUCUUUGUGACGGUACCUGGAGAAGAAGCACCGGCUAACUACGUG